This 21-nucleotide non-coding RNA is filed under the name Arabidopsis thaliana (thale cress). Lineage: Eukaryota; Viridiplantae; Streptophyta; Magnoliopsida; Brassicales; Brassicaceae. The record is from RNAcentral.
UUAGUUUUACCCUACUGAUGC